UACAGAGGGUGCGAGCGUUGUCCGGAAUCACUGGGCGUAAAGGGCGCGUAGGCGGCUUCAUAAGCGUGCGGUGAAAGCCCGGAGCUCAACUCCGGGUCGGCCGUGCGAACUGUGGGGCUCGAGCACUGUAGAGGCAGAUGGAAUUCCGGGUGUAGCGGUGGAAUGCGUAGAGAUCCGGAAGAACACCGGUGGCGAAGGCGGUCUGCUGGGCAGUGGCUGACGCUGAGGCGCGACAGCGUGGGGAGCAAACAGG
This 253-nucleotide unclassified non-coding RNA is filed under the name uncultured Gemmatimonadaceae bacterium. RNAcentral's name for it is "contains 16S-23S intergenic spacer region". It matches the Rfam family "Bacterial small subunit ribosomal RNA", at positions 524 to 776 of the family's 1533-position model. Lineage: Bacteria; Pseudomonadati; Gemmatimonadota; Gemmatimonadia; Gemmatimonadales; Gemmatimonadaceae. The record is from RNAcentral.